This 174-nucleotide ribosomal RNA is filed under the name Triticum aestivum (bread wheat). RNAcentral's name for it is "partial small subunit ribosomal RNA". The record is from RNAcentral. Lineage: Eukaryota; Viridiplantae; Streptophyta; Magnoliopsida; Poales; Poaceae.
AUGUAUCCACUGGCUUGGGCAGUAGUUGAGCAGGAAGCAAAUGAGACAUGGAAAUGGUUUAUUGGUUUGCUCAUUAAAGAUUUGAACAUUAACAACGAUGGAGAUGGCUGGGUGUUCAUAUCUGACCAGCAAAAGGGAAUUCUCAAUGCCAUGAAUGACUAUCUUCCAAAAUAA